RNAcentral lists this ribosomal RNA (252 nucleotides) under uncultured bacterium. RNAcentral's name for it is "partial 16S ribosomal RNA". It matches the Rfam family "Bacterial small subunit ribosomal RNA", at positions 524 to 776 of the family's 1533-position model. The record is from RNAcentral.
GACGAACCGUGCGAAUGUUAUUCGGAAUCAUUGGGCUUAAAGCGCGUGUAGGCGGAUGGGAACGUCGGCUUUGAAAGCCCCCGGCUCAACCGGGGAAUUGGCGCCGAAACGACCCGUCUAGAGGGGCAUAGGGGGAGCUGGAACUUCCGGUGGAGGGGUGAAAUGCGUUGAGAUCGGAAGGAACGCCCGUGGCGAAAGCGAGCUCCUGGAUGUCUUCUGACGAUGAGAAGCAAAGCUAGGGUAGCGAACGGG